Molecule: small nuclear RNA, 106 nt
Organism: Ochotona princeps (American pika)
Lineage: Eukaryota; Metazoa; Chordata; Mammalia; Lagomorpha; Ochotonidae
Source: Ensembl
GUGCUUGCUUCGGCAGCACAUGUACUAAAAUUAGAAUGAUACAGAGAAGAUUAGCAUGCCGCUGCACAAGGAUGACACACAAAUUUGUGAAGCAUUCUGUUUUUCA